CACAGGCAUCCCUAGUACGGCGAGUGAGCGGGAGAGCUCAAUUUGAAAUCUGGUAGCCUUCGGUUGCCCGAGUUGUAAUCUAGAGAAGUGUUUUCCGUGCCGGCCCAUGUACAAGUCCCUUGGAACAGGGCGUCAUAGAGGGUGAGAAUCCCGUCCUUGACAUGGACCCCCGGUGCUUUGUGAUACACUUUCAACGAGUCGAGUUGUUUGGGAAUGCAGCUCAAAAUGGGUGGUGAAUUCCAUCUAAAGCUAAAUAUUGGCGAGAGACCGAUAGCGAACAAGUACCGUGAGGGAAAGAUGAAAAGCACUUUGGAAAGAGAGUUAAACAGUACGUGAAAUUGUUGAAAGGGAAACGAUUGAAGUCAGUCAUGCUCUUGGGACUUACCUCCCUUGAGUGGGGUCAACAUCAGUUUUGAUCGAUGGAUAAAGGCACGGGGAAGGUAGCACUCUCGGGUGAACUUAUAGCCUCGCGUCAUAUACAUUGAUUGGGACUGAGGAACGCAGCAUGCCUUAUGGCCGGGAUUCGUCCACGUACAUGCUUAGGAUGUUGACAUAAUGGCUUUAAACGACCCGUCUUGAAACACGGAACCA
RNAcentral lists this ribosomal RNA (591 nucleotides) under Naganishia albida. RNAcentral's name for it is "eukaryotic LSU rRNA". It matches the Rfam family "Eukaryotic large subunit ribosomal RNA", at positions 67 to 669 of the family's 3401-position model. Lineage: Eukaryota; Fungi; Basidiomycota; Tremellomycetes; Filobasidiales; Filobasidiaceae. The record is from RNAcentral.